Molecule: ribosomal RNA, 497 nt
Filed under: uncultured bacterium
Lineage: Bacteria
Description: partial 16S ribosomal RNA
Rfam family: Bacterial small subunit ribosomal RNA
Source: RNAcentral
GAUGAACGCUGGCGGCGUGCCUAAUACAUGCAAGUCGAGCGAACAGACGAGGAGCUUGCUCCUCUGACGUUAGCGGCGGACGGGUGAGUAACACGUGGAUAACCUACCUAUAAGACUGGGAUAACUUCGGGAAACCGGAGCUAAUACCGGAUAAUAUAUUGAACCGCAUGGUUCAAUAGUGAAAGACGGUUUUGCUGUCACUUAUAGAUGGAUCCGCGCCGCAUUAGCUAGUUGGUAAGGUAACGGCUUACCAAGGCAACGAUGCGUAGCCGACCUGAGAGGGUGAUCGGCCACACUGGAACUGAGACACGGUCCAGACUCCUACGGGAGGAAGCAGUAGGGAAUCUUGCGCAAUGGGCGAAAGCCUGACGGAGCAACGCCGCGUGAGUGAUGAAGGUCUUCGGAUCGUAAAACUCUGUUAUUAGGGAAGAACAAAUGUGUAAGUAACUAUGCACGUCUUGACGGUACCUAAUCAGAAAGCCACGGCUAACUACGUG